RNAcentral lists this unclassified non-coding RNA (22 nucleotides) under Chlamydomonas reinhardtii. RNAcentral's name for it is "small RNA Cre_1175". Lineage: Eukaryota; Viridiplantae; Chlorophyta; Chlorophyceae; Chlamydomonadales; Chlamydomonadaceae. The record is from RNAcentral.
CCUGUUGCAAGCGCCUGCAAUC